Molecule: long non-coding RNA, 831 nt
Organism: Cyprinus carpio carpio
Lineage: Eukaryota; Metazoa; Chordata; Actinopteri; Cypriniformes; Cyprinidae
Source: Ensembl
GCCAAGACGAAUGAUCUGUCCGUUCUUGCAGCGAAAAGCCAGAAUCAGCGUCCUCUGUAACUCGAGAGAUCGAUGCAAUGUCUUUUUCUGGCCUAAGACAAAAAAAUAUCUCACCAGCACUCAUUUUAUUCUCUAUAAUAUAUUCUUCUAAUUGUUUUGUACUGAUUCGCUGGAGUGUUUUAAUGUAAAAGGCUGUAGUUUCAGUAUGUAGACCUUUUUCCCCAUGCCAGUGUUGAAGUCUCGAGCCGUCAGAGAGUCUGCUGCAAAUCAUUCAAUUUCACCAUUUACCAGCUCACAAAAAUCUGAAUUUAGCCGAUGGUGUGUUCUAAUGGGUGGAUUGUGUGCAAUCGCUGUAAUAUUUUAUUUUUAAAAGGUCUUAAACAGGAAUGAACUCGUUUGUUGUGAGGUCGUUGUGAAGCCCCGCGGUCUCGCGUUGUCAAAAGAGCUGACGCAAAUCGUUCAUUUUCAAACUUCAGCAGCUGAAAAACACCUACUUUUAGCUCUUGGUUUGUUCUAAUGGGUGGAUUGUGUGCAAUCGCUGUAAUAUUUUAUUUUUAUAAGGUCUUAAACAAGAAUAAAUUUGUUUCUUGUGAGCUCGUAGUGCGAGUGCAGGAGAAGCCGCGCCGUCUCGCGCUGUCAAAAGAGCUGACGCAAAUCGUUCAUUUUCAAACUUCAACAGCUGAAAAACACCCACUUUUAGCCCUUGGUUUGUUCUAAUGGGUGGAUUGUGUGCAAUCGCUGUAAUAUUUUAUUUUUAUAAGGUCUUAAACAAGAAUAAAUUCGUUUCUUGCGAGCUCGUUGUGUCACUGCACGAGAAGCCGCGCCGUCUCG